This is a long non-coding RNA of Rhopalosiphum padi (bird cherry-oat aphid), 368 nucleotides long. RefSeq lists it as uncharacterized. The record is from RefSeq and is a predicted model, not a curated record. The transcript has 3 exons. Lineage: Eukaryota; Metazoa; Arthropoda; Insecta; Hemiptera; Aphididae.
CAAGACUGUACGAUAGUCGUCUCUUUUUUGAGCAGUUGUAGCUAAGAACACAUCAUGAAUGAUGUUUACAAAGAAUUUUGGUUAUUCAAUGUAAUAUGCAUAAUUUGAAAGGUCGUAUACCAAACAAAUGUCUAGCGGUUUUGGAUCAAGACUGUACGAUAGUCGUCUCUUUUUUGAGCAGUUGUAGCUAAGAACACAUCAUGAAUGAUGUUUACAAAGAAUUUUGGUUAUUCAAUGUAAUAUGCAUAAUUUGAAAGGUCGUAUACCAAACAAAUGUCUAGCGGUUUUGGAUCAAGACUGUACGAUGGUCGUCUCUUUUUUGAGCAGUUGUAGCUAAGAACACAUCAUGAAUGAUGUUUACAAAGAAU